GAUGAACGCUGGCGGCGUGCCUAAUACAUGCAAGUCGAGCGAACGGACGAGAAGCUUGCUUCUCUGAUGUUAGCGGCGGACGGGUGAGUAACACGUGGAUAACCUACCUAUAAGACUGGGAUAACUUCGGGAAACCGGAGCUAAUACCGGAUGAUAUUUUGAACCGCAUGGUUCAAAAGUGAAAGACGGUCUUGCUGUCACUUAUAGAUGGAUCCGCGCUGCAUUAGCUAGUUGGUAAGGUAACGGCUUACCAAGGCAACGAUGCAUAGCCGACCUGAGAGGUUGAUCGGCCACACAGGAACUGAGACACGGUCCAGACUCCUACGGGAGGCAGCAGUAGGGAAUCUUCCGCAAUGGGCGAAAGCCUGACGGAGCAACGCCGCGUGAGUGAUGAAGGUCUUCGGAUCGUAAAACUCUGUUAUUAGGGAAGAACAUAUGUGUAAGUAACUGUGCACAUCUUGACGGUACCUAAUCAGAAAGCCACGGCUAACUACGUG
Molecule: ribosomal RNA, 497 nt
Filed under: uncultured bacterium
Lineage: Bacteria
Description: partial 16S ribosomal RNA
Rfam family: Bacterial small subunit ribosomal RNA
Source: RNAcentral